Molecule: long non-coding RNA, 2383 nt
Organism: Suricata suricatta (meerkat)
Lineage: Eukaryota; Metazoa; Chordata; Mammalia; Carnivora; Herpestidae
Exons: 3
Source: RefSeq, a predicted model, not a curated record
UGGGGACAUGCAGCCCAGAUAAAGGGGCGCCGUGCCAGGGGCCGACCCCAGAGCAGCCCCGCAGCCUCCCCACCCAGGCCUGAGGCCCAGCGCCCAUUCUUGUCUUCCCCACCGCCAGUGACCAGGGUUGGACCGGCACUGUGGAGUGUACCCCAUGUACCCAGUGAGCGGUGGCCAGAGACACAGCCCGCAAACAGGACCCCAUGGAACCCUCCCUGGUCCCCUCCGACAGCCCAGGGGCUGCAGCCUCCUCUGUGAGACUCCACGAGUCCCUCCAGGUGACCUUCAGAGCCCAGCUCCCAGAGGGCGCAAUGCCGGGAAGCAGCGGCCCCUCAGGCCGGGGCUCCGUGAGCACCCGGCACCUGUGUCCCGAGGUGGGGGCUGCAUUGGUCCAGGACUGAGGACAUCGGCGCUGCCUCCCCGUCCAGCUCAGAGACGGGUCUGCACCCCCCAGGAUGACAGGAAGGAGGGUCCACCUUCCCCCUCGGGGCUGGGACCCCACCCAGCAGGACAGGAAGGUCUGUGAGUCUGUGACAGGGGUGCUUGCAGAAAUGGAGGCAAAUGAAAGUCCUUAUGGGUGCAAAGAGCCAGCCCAGCAGGUGCCUAGUCCGGGGGCUUCAUCCACACCUGUAACCGUCUCCAGGAGGGUGUUGGCAUCGGCCAUGAGCUGGCCACCAUGCUGUCCCUCUUCCCAGAGACCCAGCUUCCCGUCUUGAAGUGAACCUGUGUCACCAGCCUUUUUCUGGUCGAAAGAGAAAAGGGUGAUUGAACAGACAAGUGCCUUUCACCACGAUGCUGGUGCACACACGCACACGCACACGCGCACACACGGUUUCUAUGUGUCAGGGGUGUGCUAGAGCGGAGCCCGAGUUUCUGACCUUGUCCAUUAACCUCGGCGCCUUCUGCAGGACCCGCGAGAUGCCCACAACGCCGUGCAGGCUGGGAAGGAACGUGCCGGCCGGAUGAGCCCUUUGCCACCUAGAAAGCCAGGCAUCCGAGAAAAUGCAUCGGAAUCGCUUGCUUCCUGAGCGGGACUGGAUUUCCGGGGUCGGGGGAGGCGCUCCAGUCCUGCACCCGGAGACACAUUUCACUCACCGGGGGCUUUGUCGAUGAGCAGAUGUGCCUUCGGGGGACGUCGGAAAUGUUUCGGAAACUGGAGAUCCCGGGCCGUUGUGCAGCGGACUCAGGACGUGUGACCGGCAGGAAGCUUGCCCAAACUCGGCACGAGGCUGUUGAUGCUUUGGGAGAAUCGCUGAUCUUGUGGACCCCGUCUCGCCGUGUCUGCGCCGUGCUGGCCAACCCUGGGCGCGGCGGGAACCUGCUCCCUGUGGACGGCCAGGGCUGGUUCCGGGUCCCGGGCUCCCCGGUUCGUUUCCAAAGCCGUCGAUUUGGAAACCGGUGGUUUGUAUCUGAAUCGGAGGCUGGUCGCUGUGUGUGUGUGUGUGUGUGUGUGUGUGCGCGCGUGUGUGUGUGUGUGAUGAUUAUAGGUUGGGGACAUCCACACGCUGCCGUAGCAGAGAGCAGACUUGGAAUUUAAGGUCCACAUUUAAAGGAAAAGCCAACAAAAGACAAUGCACAGAGCGGGUCAGGACCUGCUGGCUCAGAGGGGAUUUUUCCUCGGCUGUUCGUGGUUCCUGCUGGUCUCUUUGUUCUCUGAGCUUGAAGACGUGUCUUCAUCAGGGAGAUCGGUUCUAGCUCCAUACAGGGCGACCCACUGGAAAAUAGCCAAGGUUUCCUGGAAAUGUUCUCAAUACAUUUAAAUUCCUAACGUUGGGGCUCCUGGUGGCGCCGGCGGCUGAGCGUCCGACUUCGGCUCCGGGCAGAGACAGUGCGAGCAGGGGAGGGGCAGAGAGAGAGGGAGAGACAGAACCCAAGCAGGCUCCGCGCUGUCAGCACAGAGCCCGACGCGGGGCUGCACCUCACGAACCGCGGGAUCCCGACCUGAGCUGGAACCAGGACUGACAGGCUUGGCGGGCCGGGGCUGUUCCUCUACGCCGCGUUGGGAAUCUCGAGAGCACGGUGGCUGGUGAAAUCUGGACACGGCCUGAGCUCGCCGGGAAGCUUCCUGAUGAGCCUGCCCAACGCCAUGGACCUAGAACGGGGGUGUGCAACUGUACUUCACGCUGUUCCCGCGUUAGGCAGAUGGCGUCCUUCCUUCCCAGCGAGCCGGCGCUUGGGAAGAACGGAGGAUGCGAUUCGGAGCCGCCGGACGUUUGGGGUGGGGGAGGGGCAGAUGGCGAGUCUGAAACAUCCCAAGGUUUUCUGAAAUGAUUAUAUAGGAAAUCGUCAGGUCGCCUCACUGUCAGUAUCUCGAAGGUUUUGUUUUAUGUUUUUUAUUUAUUUUUGAGAGACAGAGACAGAGCACGAGCAGGGGAGGGCCAGA